This 897-nucleotide ribosomal RNA is filed under the name uncultured bacterium. RNAcentral's name for it is "bacterial SSU rRNA". It matches the Rfam family "Bacterial small subunit ribosomal RNA", at positions 54 to 944 of the family's 1533-position model. The record is from RNAcentral.
CAUGCAAGUCGAGGGGCAGCAUCAUUAAAGCUUGCUUUGAUGGAUGGCGACCGGCGCACGGGUGAGUAACACGUAUCCAACCUGCCGACAACACUGGGAUAGCCUUUCGAAAGAAAGAUUAAUACCGGAUGGCAUAGUCUUCCCGCAUGGGAUGACUAUUAAAGAAUUUCGGUUGUCGAUGGGGAUGCGUUCCAUUAGGCAGUUGGCGGGGUAACGGCCCACCAAACCAACGAUGGAUAGGGGUUCUGAGAGGAAGGUCCCCCACAUUGGAACUGAGACACGGUCCAAACUCCUACGGGAGGCAGCAGUGAGGAAUAUUGGUCAAUGGACGAGAGUCUGAACCAGCCAAGUAGCGUGAAGGAUGACUGCCCUAUGGGUUGUAAACUUCUUUUAUACGGGAAUAAAGUGAGCCACGUGUGGCUUUUUGUAUGUACCGUAUGAAUAAGGAUCGGCUAACUCCGUGCCAGCAGCCGCGGUAAUACGGAGGAUCCGAGCGUUAUCCGGAUUUAUUGGGUUUAAAGGGAGCGUAGGCGGGUUGUUAAGUCAGUUGUGAAAGUUUGCGGCUCAACCGUAAAAUUGCAGUUGAUACUGGCGACCUUGAGUGCAACAGAGGUAGGCGGAAUUCGUGGUGUAGCGGUGAAAUGCUUAGAUAUCACGAAGAACUCCGAUUGCGAAGGCAGCUUACUGGAUUGUAACUGACGCUGAUGCUCGAAAGUGUGGGUAUCAAACAGGAUUAGAUACCCUGGUAGUCCACACAGUAAACGAUGAAUACUCGCUGUUUGCGAUAUACAGUAAGCGGCCAAGCGAAAGCGUUAAGUAUUCCACCUGGGGAGUACGCCGGCAACGGUGAAACUCAAAGGAAUUGACGGGGGCCCGCACAAGCGGAGGAACAUGUGG